GGAAGUAAAAGUCGUAACAAGGUUUCCGUAGGUGAACCUGCGGAAGGAUCAUUCACACAUCCAAUUACCAUAACGUGAACCAGUCUGUUUCCUUUCCAAAGGAGAUAGGCUACAAACAUAUGUUGGGUUACUUAUACAAGAUUACCUAAGCUUUAUUAACUAUCAGCGAUGGAUGUCUUGGCUCCCACAACGAUGAAGGCCGCAGCAAAAUGUGAUAAUCAUUGUGAAUUGCAGACUUCUUAGAAUCAAUAGAACGCUGAACGCAUACGGCACUGUACUUGUACAGUAGGUCUGUUUCAGAGUCACUUUCGAUCUUCCCCACCCCUCCCUGCAAAGGAAGGCGGCGGAGAAGGCAAGGUACUGCUCGGCAUCUUUCAUUAGCUUUGCCUGGCAGUCGCAUUGUUCUAUGGCUACUCGUUUCAAACACAUUCGAUUCAUUCGUAUUGAUUGUUGGACGCGAGUGCUGAAGCUAUAGCAUACAACUCAUAUGACCUGAAAUCAGACCAGGCUACCCGCUGAAUUUAAGCAUAUUAGUCAGCGGAGGAAAGGGCGAUCC
RNAcentral lists this ribosomal RNA (556 nucleotides) under uncultured fungus. RNAcentral describes it as "eukaryotic LSU rRNA". The stretch from base 158 to 305 matches the Rfam family "5.8S ribosomal RNA". Lineage: Eukaryota; Fungi. The record is from RNAcentral.